AAGUCGUAACAAGGUCUCCGUAGGUGAACCUGCGGAGGGAUCAUUAACACUUUUUCUUAGGAAAGAGCUCCCAUACUCUUUUCUUUUACCAACCGUGAACUAACUUAUGCCCCGAUUGGUCUAUAUGAACUUCGGUUCUGUAGGCUGGUCCAUUUUUUUUCUAUUGUUAUUUUUAAACCUUUUAUCCAACUACUAACACUAUAGCCAUACAGUACUUUUGAUACAUUUGAUUAUGUAUCCUUCGUACAGUGAUAUAGUAAAGUAACUAAAAGCACAACUCUUAGCAACGGAUAUCUCGGUUCUC
RNAcentral lists this unclassified non-coding RNA (304 nucleotides) under fungal sp. RNAcentral describes it as "partial internal transcribed spacer region". The stretch from base 1 to 46 matches the Rfam family "Eukaryotic small subunit ribosomal RNA", at positions 1786 to 1831 of the family's 1831-position model. The record is from RNAcentral. Lineage: Eukaryota; Fungi.